CCUUCAAAGUUCGAGUAAGAAUCAUGUUUCAAAAGAUAAAGCAAAUUAAGCAUAAAACAAUCAUCCAACACUCAGUUUCCUAUAAAAUUGACAUCAUAUGAACACUAAAACCAUGGAAACAUGAGUGUUAUCAACUCCCCCAAACUUAAGCCAUUGUUCGUCCUCGAAUAAUGGGAAGAAUAAAAUCAAUAACACGAAUGGGUAAGAAAUCUAGUUCAUCGAUGCCUCCGAAUAAUAAAGAAUAAUAGAAUUCUCAAAUCCUCAAUAAAUAAGCACAAAAUUCACCAAUAAACACAACCUAUAGCAAAAUCAACCUUGACAUUCCAAACAAUUGAAUCUCACCAGGUAUGUGUAUCACUCAACUCUCAAUUUGAUGGAAUAGGACGUGUAUACUCUCAUCGAAAUUCAAUACAAUGCAGAUCUCUUACCAUAGGCUUGCCAAUCGUCUACAAUCUCCAUCGCUAAUAGUGUGCCAGGACUAAGAUCAAAAAGGUCUUUUUAUUCGGGUUAUAAUGUAGGGACAUUGGUUAAGGUAGGGAAAUAUAGGCUAAGUGACUCAAAUAGAUCAAGAACACCAACCUUAUAGCUUCACUAAUCAAGCAUGGA
RNAcentral lists this long non-coding RNA (606 nucleotides) under Salvia miltiorrhiza (redroot sage). Its description in RNAcentral is "long non-coding RNA (SMIL_LNC000131)". Lineage: Eukaryota; Viridiplantae; Streptophyta; Magnoliopsida; Lamiales; Lamiaceae. The record is from RNAcentral.